UUAAAAAUUUUCUUCCUUUGCAGAUAAAGCCCUGUUCAGAGCUGUCAUUCCCUGGGAAGAUCUGUUUCUGUGACUGUUCUGUCUCUGCUAAGUGUAACAGGGCUAACCAUAGAGACACUUGUUCCACAAACUGAGGAAGAUUUCACCAAAUGGUGAACUUAUACGGUUAGUUGGAGUUGCCUGUGCUGUCGUCUGUUAGGGAAUUCAGGGGUGUCCACACUCCGAGGCUUGCCACAGAAUGCACAUCUCCUGAGAUACGCCGUGCUUAUUUCUGAGUGGUAGCUGGUUUCAAGGAACCUUCUUACUUUGCAAGAAACCAAGUAUAUGCAAUUUGAUCUGAAACAUUAGAAAAUGCUGUUUUCUCUCUUUGUAAAGUUCCUGCAAGGAUGUUGCUUCACCUGAAAUAUUUCAAUGAAGAAAAAUAUAGACCUCAUUUUUCUUAAAUCCUUCUUUUUGUUUAAUAAUUUAUGUCCUACUAGAAGCAAAAUCCAGACUUCCUUGAAUAUGUCCUAAUAUAGCUUCAGCAGAAACUGUAUAUUCAUAUUCCUGGGUCCAUUCAUAUUAAAUAGAAAUGAAACUUAACAUGAAAAUCAAUACAACCGUAAGUAUUCCAGGAAGUCCUCGUUAGUGGUUUUAGCAAGUUUUGGCUUUUAGCUACCUGACCAGAACGCUCAGGGGUGUAACACCUUGUGUACGUGCAGGGCAGCUGGCCUUCACAUUGAUCAUAAGCAGUUAUUGCUGUCCAGCUUUAUGUUUUCCACCCAAAGGGAACAAAGACAAUAGGUUUGCUCUGGACUCCGUAAUUAGGCACAUACAAACAACACAUUUAUUCUAAAAUGCCGACUGGAUUAGCAGCUUUUCACACAAGAUCUGCAUACCAACAAAAAAUGCAAUCUUAGAACACUGGUGCCUCCAAUCUGUCACACUGGUUUUGUUAGCAAUUGCUGUUUUGUGCUUCAGAGAGAAAAAUGGAGAACCUUCAUAAGAAACCAAAUGAAUCAUGAUAUUGUAUAUCAGGAAGGCAAAAACGUGCUUUCUAAUCUCUUUUUCCCUCCUACCUCCUGUUGAUAAUUAGCAUUCUGUACUGCAGCAAACAUGGGAAGAAAUUCACACCUCUCACAAACCUCUGGUUUAGGUCAGGAGAAACAAUAUAUUUUUAACACAUUACUUCAGAUCUCAAAGUUUUAAUUAACACACAACAAAAAUAACAAAUGUUAUUGUUUUAACACAUUAGUUGGUAACGAUAACAUUCACGGAACAGGUUAAAACUAUAAUUGACUUGUCUUGUGAUUUAAAGAUGUGUAAGCUAAACAUAAACAUGCCAAACCCCCAUUUUCUGUAGGCUAGACAAAGACUGACAAAAAUUGAUAUUAGUUCUUUAAAGAAACAUAGAUGCCCCAGUUGUAACAAUCAUUUGGACUUACCACUAGAAAAUUACUUCAAAGGCAGUUUUGAAUUUAAUUUGUUGUAGCCUUCGCUUUCCAAAAACCAAGGGGAUGUCUUAUAUCUCAGAAACGUGCAUAUGCCAUCUCUGCAAACAGUCUGGGAAAAGUUUGUUUCCAAGUUAUUUGUACGGACUUCUGCUUUAGGAGAUGAAUUUGCAAAACAUGGAAAUACCGUCCUGCAUCUUUCAGGUCUUCCUGAGGUCAUAACACGCAAAAAAAUCACGAUUCACUUUUAGUUUGCUAAUCAUUUUCAGUUUUCGUAAUUAAUGAAAGAGAAAAAGGAAGUUCAUCCACCUUAAACCUUGUUUAGAGCAGCUGAAGUUACUAUGUUAUUUUGAAAACUUUUAUGACCCUUUGUCACAGGCUAGAAAAACUAGAUUACUUCAUGUGCCAAAUCCAGGAAGUAAAACUCUGGGGAAAAAAAUAUAUAUUGUUACUUUGUCUAUGGUAAGAAUGAGCUAGUGUUUGCAGGAGCGUCCUGCAUAGGAACAAAGCACUGAUUCCUGUUUUUAUAAAAGGAAAGACUUUAUUUAAACUUUGUAGAGUUCUACAGUGACAGCUAACUGUGGUACUGAGUGGUGGUGUUUUGAUGUAUUUCACAAAACAUUACCUCAGAACUUUCCUGAAUCAGUGUCUUUCUGGACUACAGUUUGGUGGGUGGUGUGUUUCAAAAUUUCCACAACACAAAUGAACUGUUACGAAUCCAGUCUAAGUAAAUUUCAACACACGUAGCUGUCAGAGCCACACAAACAAUACCAUAUGUAUAUGAGUACUAUAGUCCUUGCUAGUCACUUGAAUUACUCACUGGAAAGAUUAUGUAAUUUCAGUUCUUUAAUAAAAUAAAAAUAAUGUUGCUUCAUUUAACCCAAAUAUAUUGUUCAACAGUAUAGUAUUCAUGUAAUAAAAUAUACCACAGCUGUUAAUUAGUUUGGAUAGCUAAUACGUUGUUAUAUUCAAAGUGUUACUUCACAAGUAAUUUAAAAGUCCAAUGAAAUAAUUCAUUCUUUGUAUGCUAAACACAGGGAAGAGUACUCACAGCAUCUGACUGGAAGUAUCAUAUUCAGGCUCCUUGGUAAGAAUGAAAAUAUGCUCUUGACUAAGGAUUGCCCAGUUUUGAUACUUCCAUUUUGUCACCUAGAUCAAGUAUGUUGAAAAAUAGCACCAUGUGCAAUUUGUGUUCACCUGUAACUGACCUUUCCCUUCUCCUUCCCAGUGUUCUGUGUAUACUAUGUGACUAGAGGAAUCCUGCAGGAGAAUUGGCAGGAGCUCGUUGUCUUUGGUCUUAUCUUCUUGCUAGUGAUGUUUCAAUCCAUCAUCAACUUCACAGUUUUCUCUGCUGAGCAAAAGCCAAAACUCCUGGUUAGUCUCCUGACUUUAACUAACUUUGCUUUUGUCCAAAUCUUGGAUGUGAAAAUCUUAGAAAAACAUCUCUGAUAUGGGCAUUGAUAACAGAAAAAUCAGGCAGAAUUAUUCCUAUCAUCAAAUAACAAAACGUGCAUCUUCACAAUGACAAAUGUGAUCCUGUGAUUCUGUGGGUUUCUCUGUGACACUAUCUGAAAGUAACAUAAAUAUAAUUUUACUCACAUAGGAUUACUACAGAAUUACUAUUACUACCUUCACUUUACCUACUCUACAUCAAAUUUCCAUACGUAAAAUAACUGUCCCAAAGUCACAUAAAUCUAACCUAUGAAUGGAAUCGGAAUCUCAAGUCUGGAUGCAAUGACACAGCUGUUAGCCACUCUCAUAAUAUCCAUAAGUGCAGCAUUGUGUUUUUAAGAGAGUUGUGAUACCCUGCUGCAAGGAAACAAAAGGAUAUGGUGUGCUAAGGGAGGUAUUGCCAUUUCAGAUUAUCUUGUUUGUAUUUCACAACAAUAAAAUGUAACACAAAGACUGUAUUCUGUGUGUUACUAAGCUUUGUAGUUGAACUUCCCCUUUCCGUGCUUCUUAGGAGUCUUUCUCUUUUAUGGUAGCAUACUUAUCACAAAUGUGAGAAGGAGGUUCCUUGUUCCUUGAAGUCAUCCAAACAUUAUUUUCAGAGAGAAGAGAUGCCAGCCAAGCUAGGAAAAUUACAGUAAAGCAGAAUUUGCCUAUUCAACUUAUGUAUUAAUGGUACAUUUAGUUAAAUAUCUACAGCAAACUGGGUCAAUAAGGAACAGGCAUCAGAGAUGCAGAUUACUUUGAUGUAUGUAUCCCAGCCUUCUGUUUAAAUAUUAAACAAGAAAAAACAAACAAGUUAAACCUGGUCUAGAAGAUGCAGUAUUAAGGAGGGUUUUACCACUAUAAAAGUCACUUCAAUUACUGUAACUCCUGCUUCCUGAGCAAAAUUUCUGAGCUGCAGUAAUGCUUACUGGUGUAAACAGUUUCAUAUCAAUGCAGUUAUGAAGAACAUUUUGCCACUUCAACUGUCUGUAAAAAGCAGACAUUCAGUGUGAAUGACAAGAAAACCGUGGAUAAAACCCAUCCCAAACCAAUGUUUUUAGAAAUUUAGUAAGUACAGCAUUCAGAAUAACCCACUGUCCCCAUUGACGUCAGUGGGGAAGAUUCUUACCAGGUGGUUUAUGCCAUAGAGGAAUCUUAGAGCCAGACAGGAAGGAUGUCUGUCAUUUUUUGAGGAAUAAUUUUAUCCUUCAGAGCUCUGCCCAAGUUACAGUCAGUGGGAGUUUGUGUCAAGUAUUUUGGUGGGCUGUAUGGUCUCACACUAAUAAUUUUAGCAAAUCUUUGCCUCUUCUCUUAACAUAGGCGUGAGUUUCUCCCCUGAGCAUAAAGGUUGAGAACACCUCACGCUAUCAUUACUCCUUUUUGAGGGACAUUGUUUUAUUCUCAAUCCUUGACUACCUACAUUCAUGAAACAUACAGGAUCACAAUAUUUUUAGUACUUCUAUCUCUCUGACAAAGUCAGGUGAAAUUGGCAACAGCCCUCCAAAUUAUUGUGAAGAUGGAUAUACAGACACAGUGAGAUUACACCGGCCUUAUAUCCUUCGGAAAUCACACCAAAAAGAUGAGUGGUCCUUUAUCGGGGCAGCUUUAAAGGUGAGUGAUAGUUUUCAUGUUAAUAUAAGGAUUUGUGGACUUGUGCUUCUUGUUAGUCAGACUGAACUCCCUCUGAAAUCUCGAGAACUAAGAAGGACUGCAGAAUCAAUGCCAAAGCACAUCAGAUAAGAGUCUGGUGUUACCAGGAAAAAGCUAGGGGGAUUUUUAUUAUUAUUACUAUUAUUACUUUUAUUUUAAGGUUCAUUGGUUGUUUGCUUUAGCCAAAUUUCUGACAGCUGAAAUACAGCUUUCCGAACAUUUGUUUGCUUUCCAUGCUAAAAAUGGAGCCAGCACCAAGUACUGGACUUUCAACACUAAAAUAAGUUCAGGUGAAAAGUUGCAGAUUCAUCUUUUUCCUGGACUUUGGAGUCUUGUAGCCACUAGCAUUGAUCCUGUAGGGAGAAAAGGAGACAGGACAAAGUGUGGACGCUCAGCCAUGCAGAUAGGGAUCUUAUGGCUUAGUUUCCUUGUAGGAGCUCCUCACAUACUUUUUCAAGGCACUGGAUCUUUGUUUUCAGUUAAAUUGUUUCAGGUGUGGAAAGAAGGGAGCGCUCAGAACUUUCUGUCUGCCAAUGAGGAUUAAACAUACAAACCUUCCACUAUUUCCCCCCACCAUCAGAAACCAAGUUGAUCUGACGAACUCUCUUUCACAGAUCUGAGUUCUUUGCUUGUUCUUGACUUUUCCAUAGGCAUUAAAAGAGGCAGUGUUUCUUUUAGGUAAAGAAAGUGGCACUUCAGUUAGAUGGCCUCAUGUCGUAAUACACCUGAUAUUCCUCAUGCUUUCAGCAAUAGCAAACAUGUUUCUUAACAGUUCAACUAGUAAUAGCAAAUGUCCUGGGGUAAGUACAUAUUAUUGCUGUUUGUUCAAGACUGUCUGCAUCAGAAGUACUUGAAAGCUACUUUUUAUCCAGUCAAAGUACGCUAACUUUACCUACAUGGACUACAACAUGUAUCAGUCUUCUCAGAAACUGCACCUGCCAUUAAAGUGUUGCAUAAUAAAGGUAUGUAGACAUACAAAAUCCACCAGAAUAUAUAGCAUAAAAGGAAAUAAGUGUAACAGAAGGGAAAGCUUGGGAGCCCCCAUACACAGUCUUUUCCCAUAGCUGCAGCACCUGGAAGCACAGCUUCACCUCAAGGUCCCUCAUUUCUGGGUUGAAGCCAUAUGCCAUUUCACAGAGCCACUUCACAUGUCAUUCACUAUUUUUCUUUCAUUCUUGUAUAUGCCUUCCCAUUUCCUUCAGUGGAUUUAUUUUUCCUAUCUGCAUUAUUUAUUUUAGGAUUCAUAGUAUUUUCUGUCUUUUCUCCUGUGAACUUCUAAUUCUCCCUUUCACCCCUCCUCUUGUUUCCUAGGCUCCCUAUACUCCAUUAUUUCUCGGCCUGUGUUCUCCUUCUGGUCUUAUCCUAAGAGGAGCACUAAGCAAUAUUGCAGAAAACAGAGACAGUAGUACAGGUGGCAGAGAAAAGACAAGCUCCCUUAGGGGAAGGACAGUUCUCUCAAUGCUUUUGUAGAGGUUCAUAUACUGACCACUGCAGAAGGAUCAGUCUUGGUUCUGGGGGAAUCUGCGCUCAAUCAGAUGCAUCAAAUCUUAUCGUAGUAUUGGCCCAGUCAUUUCUUUCAUUCAUAGUGACUCAGCUGUUUUUCUUUGGUUUGCUCAGACCUGCCCUUCCAGUUAAGGAUUGCUGAAAGUCACUGCCUGCUGAAAACCAGUCCAUCAUUUCUUCUUUCCCAAGCCCUGAGGUUCAGUGUGAAACAGUUUUUCUGAUAGUUGUUUCUCCUACGUUUUAGUUCUCAUUGACUUUACUUCCCUGUAGAAGAAAGAAAGCUGGAGGAAGAAGUCACAGAGCAUGUUUAAUCUGUAAGCUAUGAAAACAUUAAUUUACUAGAGAAAAAAUUGAGUGUACCCAAAGAGAAAGUAUAUCAGCUUAGAUGCAACUGUUCUAGAAGAGAGCUGUUUCUCCAUUUAAGCUAGCUGGGAGUUGUACUAGAAGCAUUAGAAGGCAGGGCUCAAAAGGAUGCCCAGAUAGCUCAAACCACACACAGCUAUCAUGAUGUGCCCAUAAAACAACCAGUUCUGAUUUCACCACCAUCACUCCUGGCCCAGCUUAGUGGAAAACACUAAGACUAGAGGCCUCCACCUUGCUACUGGAUCCUUAGGCCCAAAACACGGAGCCUUGUUCCUGAGCAUACACCUUCAGUGCAGCUCCUUUUAGAAUCAAUGAGAGCAGCAGGCACAUCCUACAUCUUUUGGGAUCAACUUCCCACACAAGAACUAUGUCAAAUUGCUCUUGAACUGAUUAGUUAGAGGGAACUUUCUGCAGCUGGCACAGUAUCCAGAAUGAGGAGGAAAAGAUAAAACAAAAUCUUCCAGCGCAAGGUAUUUAUGCCUCCUCUCCUUCCCAAGAAAUCUCCAAGUGGUACCAGGCUUUUUGACCAGCUGGAGGGUCUUAAGUCAUAUUUUAAACAAUUUUCCUAGGCAGCACUCCCAGCUGUUGAUCUUGAUGCAGGCAAAACAAGAGAGUGUGCAAGCCCAAAAAGCCCCAUGUUUAGCAUUUUUUAGCACUGUAAUAGUGAUAAAGCAUUUAUCACUGGGGCACCCAAGCAGCUCCCACAACACAUGUGAAAGGAGAUGAGGAAGAAGGGCAAAGAUUAUUCAUCAUGGGAAGGGCCCAACUGCUGAUAGCAGCCAGUGUUUCUCAUACUUGACAUAAAUAGUCUCUGAAACUGAUAAAAGUUCAGUGGCUACAGUCAUCCAAGUCCUUGUGGUUUUAUUUACGAAAUUAUGCAGCCAAAUCAGGCUCUUCCAAUUGUUCGCAGGUCUCUUUGAUUUGGCAAAUCACAAAAGGACCACACUGACUUUGGUGGCUAUACUUUACUUGUAUUGCAGUUAGGAAGAAAAAUACAGGCAGGAGCAAUGUAGCAACUUGAAAAUAGCUAAAUCUCCUUAUGCUUUUGCACAGCAAUAAAGAAAAUAUAGGAGUGCCUGGCAAACGAGGGCAUUGGCAUGCAAGGCAGUACUCCUCUCUACCAGAGAAAUCUAAUAAAGUCAUUUCUCCAAAGCAAUCCUUUUUAGCACCUUUUAUCUGACUACCUAAAAGAUAAAAAAAAAACAAAAACAAAAACUGCACUUACCAUUAAUCACUUCAGUUCUAAAAAAAUGGUAGAUUAAGUCUAUGUAGCAGCUGCUUAACAGCCCUCUGUAGUACAAACAGGAAAACUGAUAGAACCGUACAGACAAAUAAGUGUUGUUUAUAAUUAUUAUAAUUAUUUUUUUUCAACCUGAACACUGAUUUCUUUAAUGAUGCAGAGAUCAGAAAGUAUAAUGCAAUUUUGCUGGAGUUGGUAUGCAGCCAGGGAAUCAUGUAAGCAGGAAAGAAACUUUAAAAGUGACCCAUUUUUUUCCUCUCAGUUACUAUCAUGUGGCUUCAUCCAGAAAUUGAGUGAUUGAUUGCUUUUUAUGGCUUCCAGGUUUUGGGGCACUAGGUGUUGAUUGUCAUGUGUCUCCAUUUCCCCACAGGUGAUAAAAGAGUGGGGCAAAGGGAAUUCUUAUGCUGGAAGCUGCUUUCGUCAUUGGCUCUUGCAUUUCUGUUGCAAGAAAAUCUGUUUUGUUUUGGGUGUUGAUUCACGUCUACUGCAGCUCUGGGCAGGGGCUGAGAGAAAGAAGUAAGUACUCAAGAAAGUUAACUAAGAAGGUUGUAGCCUAUUGUUUCAUGAUCACAAUUAAGUAGAGAGCUUGCCAAGCCAUGAAAACAGCUAGGAAUGAUCACAAUAAAAGGCAGAUGCCUAAUGACAUCAAGCAGUACUGCAGUCUUGGAAUUUACUGGCCUGAGAAUGUUCAACAGCUUGGUUGGAACAUGUGUGAGAUCUUCCUGAAGAAAACUGGUAUGUCAAACCCAUACAGGAAUUGCUGCUGUCCAGAAAAAGAGACCUGUGUAGGAAGUCUCCUCUACAAAAAAUAGAUGUAAUUCUUCUUUAUCAUUCUGUAAAAAUAUCUAAUGUCUAGUAAAUAAGAGACAGAAUAAAUAGACCUAGAGAGCCACUGAUCUUAAACUACCCAAACCUUUUAAAAGGAGGAUGCACAGUGACAGGCAUUGGUGCUGGCUGAUCUGACUCUUCCUUUCUUCCCACAGUGUUUUCUUCCUAUGGAAGGAUUGACUCCUGAACAUCCCCUUUGUAUUCCAACUGCAGCUCUUACAGAGUGAAAUCAUAGCUGGGAAAGGUCUGAUCAAGUACUUGCACUCAGAAUAUAAGAUAAUGGGUCAGCUUCACAGCGGUAGAAGAAGUUGCUCAGAAAAGUGUCUUUAUCUUUCUUAGUUUUGUGCUAGGGAACUAGAGCAGAACAGCUGGUAACAGUUUAUAAAACAAAGUGUGCUCAGGAAAUCAAGAGUAAUCCUCUCAUUCAGGGGGUUUUGCUGACAGGACAAUGCAGCUUUCACUCCUUUUCCUGAUUUUGCUUUGGAACUGCAGAAGGUUCAUGACAUGCAUGUGAGAGGGGCACAUGGUUAAUAUAAAUGCUGGCGUUAUUGAUACACCAGCAUAACAAAGACAAUUUGCUCGUCAGUCUUUUCUUACUGAGGCUAGAAGUGGAUUGCCCUGCCUUCAUUCUCAUUGGUGGCGUUGACUGGAGGUCCCAAGAGCUCUGUAGUACCUGCUUUCUCACACUACCCUGGGUAGGAGUGGAAUUGCAAUUUACAUAUACUGUAAACAUUGCCAUCACAUUGCUCUUCAGCUACAUCUUUAAGUGACAGGUACCCACAUACUGUAAAAUGUAGUCAAAACAGUUUGUUGUAGCUUAGUAGGGAAAUUUACAGAGAAGAUCUCAAGACUUGUAUUUUUCUCACCCUAAUCUUCUCAACCUGAAACAAAUAUAUUUUAUAGAUAACAUGGAGGCAUGAAGAGGUUAAAUGUCUAUGGUCAGGCCGCAUAAAGCUGACAGUAUCAAGAGAAAGCACGAGAGUACCAGCUGAUGACUGUGACUUUAUUUCACAAGUCAAAAUGUGACUAUGUAUUGUUGUUGAAAUGGAGGAAAACAAUUAAGCAUAUUCAACGCUUUUCUUAAAUAAGCAAACAUGCUGCAGGUCUUGCCUAGAACAGAAACAAUAAGGGAAGACUUCUAUCUGGAGGAAGCCUAUACUUGGCCAAAAUUAUCUGAAGAAAGCAGGCUUGUACUAUGCUCCUUUUGUCUUCAUAGCUAGGGAUGGCAGAAAUAAUUGUAUCAUUAGAAGGGGAAAAAAAGAUGUUAUCACAUUCAAACAUUUAUCUCCCCAAAAACAGCACUGUAUUAUCAUGCCUUGGGGAAUUAAGCUUCAUACUUUCACAGAAAAAUGUUCUUAUUUCUGACAAAGGUCUUGUUAAGUUCCUCUGGAAAUCCGUGUGUUCUUUUUUCACAAGGUCUUUAAAAAUACUGAAGUAGUACUACACUUAGCUAGCAUGCUAAUCAGCAAGUUCUAAGUAGAUACACACUGCACUGCCAAGAGUGCAUUUGUUUUUUUGUUUUUUUGUUUUUUUCAAAUAAGUCCACAUAAGUAUCAGAAGAGGACAAGUUCUCUUACAUCCCAGUUUCGUCAGUGAAGUUAAUGCUCGUGUAAGUACUUUCCUCAACUGCAAAAGACCAGGGUGCUGGGAGGUGGAGAGUACUUUCCACUGAUUAAACAAACCCUGGUGUUGCAGCCCUUUGCUGGCUCAUGUGAACAGUAAGAAGCACUCAUUUUGGCCAAUUCAGGACUAGCAGACUGCAUAUAAAUCAUCUCAAAAGAAUCAUUUUACUUGUAAAAGUGAGGGUCCAGUCUUUGGCAUCACUGUUUCCCUGCUUCUUGCAUAGGCCAUCAAGUGCCAUUGUCACAGACAUGCUGGCUUAUCAUUUUGGCUAUGGACAGCAAGAGUUUUUAGCUAGGCAGGCAAGAGAAGAUGGAAAACUCUUUUUAAAGCACCUGAAGAAGCAAAUGAACUCCAUUUAAGAGCAGCUAUAUUUCCACUUUUGUACCUUAAAAAAAAUGGUUAAUGUAGCCCAGCUAGCUGAAGGGAAGAUUUGUUUCAACUUGCACAUUAAAUCCAGAAGCUUUUAUUUUGAAACUUUUGAGAAAAGACUUGUAUCAGACAUACACAAUCACAAUAGCCUUACAUAUAUUUCUAAAAAACAGAAACUACCAUCUAGAAACUACCAUGAGAUAAUGCAUCAGAAACCCACACUGGAUAUUCAUCUUCCAAGUAAGCAAUUGUGUAUACCUAAUUGUAUAGUCUCAGUCAAAUGCUGCUAAACAAAUCCAACUUUACAAAAAAGAUUUUAUUGAAAGGAUUGAAAAAUAUUUGAUUUCAACAAUAUUUAAAACAAGUUUUCAAAGCAUUAACAAUAUGUAACAAGAUUUUUCCUCUUUCAAAAAUUCAGUACACUCUGCUUUAUACCAUACCCCACCAGUUUUCAAUAACUUGAACUCUCUAGUAGAGACUUUUUUUUUUUAACCAAUUUCCAAGCUUCCAUUUUGGCCCUAUGUAGACUGGAAAAUGUUUA
Long non-coding RNA from Cygnus olor (mute swan), 10981 nucleotides. RefSeq lists it as uncharacterized. Lineage: Eukaryota; Metazoa; Chordata; Aves; Anseriformes; Anatidae. The record is from RefSeq and is a predicted model, not a curated record. The transcript is spliced from 2 exons.